This 283-nucleotide ribosomal RNA is filed under the name uncultured bacterium. Its description in RNAcentral is "partial 16S ribosomal RNA". It matches the Rfam family "Bacterial small subunit ribosomal RNA", at positions 123 to 406 of the family's 1533-position model. The record is from RNAcentral.
AACGUGCCCAGUCGUGGGGGAUAACGCAGCGAAAGCUGUGCUAAUACCGCAUACGAUCUAUGGAUGAAAGCGGGGGACUCGUAAGGGCCUCGCGCGAUUGGAGCGGCCGAUAUCAGAUUAGCUAGUUGGUGGGGUAAAAGCCCACCAAGGCGACGAUCUGUAGCUGGUCUGAGAGGACGACCAGCCACACUGGAACUGAGACACGGUCCAGACUCCUACGGGAGGCAGCAGUGGGGAAUUUUGGACAAUGGGCGCAAGCCUGAUCCAGCAAUGCCGCGUGCAG